This 387-nucleotide small RNA is filed under the name Pongo abelii (Sumatran orangutan). RNAcentral describes it as "retained intron". The record is from RNAcentral. Lineage: Eukaryota; Metazoa; Chordata; Mammalia; Primates; Hominidae.
CAAGCAUGGCGUCGGUGGUGCUGGCGCUGAGGACCCGGACAGCCGUUACAUCCUUGCUAAGCCCCACUCUGGCUACAGCUCUUGCUGUCAGAUAUGCAUCCAAGAAGUCGGGUGGUAGCUCCAAAAACCUCGGUGGAAAGUCAUCAGGCAGACGCCAAGGCAUUAAGAAAAUGGAAGGUGAGGAUGUGCCUUGGCUUCCCUUUCCUAGCUGCACCCUGUCCUCGUGUUCCUUAGGAGAGCAGAAUGUGCCUGGCCGUGUUCUUCCUCACCAUCAUAAUUGGCUCCAGUUGAAAGGAACAGAUAAGACCUGAGGAAGGGUCAUCGAGUGGGUGGGUGUGAGCCAUAACCAUGCAAUUAGAGACAAGAGCUGCUGGGUGGCAGAUGCUG